RNAcentral lists this ribosomal RNA (492 nucleotides) under uncultured bacterium. RNAcentral's name for it is "partial 16S ribosomal RNA". It matches the Rfam family "Bacterial small subunit ribosomal RNA", at positions 29 to 507 of the family's 1533-position model. The record is from RNAcentral.
AGUGAACGCUGGCGGUAGGCCUAACACAUGCAAGUCGAACGGCAGCACAGUAAGAGCUUGCUCUUACGGGUGGCGAGUGGCGGACGGGUGGGGAAUACAUCGGAAUCUACUUUUUCGUGGGGGAUAACGUAGGGAAACUUACGCUAAUACCGCAUACGACCUACGGGUGAAAGCAGGGGAUCUUCGGACCUUGCGCGAUUGAAUGAGCCGAUGUCGGAUUAGCUAGUUGGCGGGGUAAAGGCCCACCAAGGCGACGAUCCGUAGCUGGUCUGAGAGGAUGAUCAGCCACACUGGUACUGAGACACGGUCCAGACUCCUACGGGAGGCAGCAGUGGGGAAUAUUGGACAAUGGGCGCAAGCCUGAUCCAGCCAUACCGCGUGGGUGAAGAAGGCCUUCGGGUUGUAAAGCCCUUUUGUUGGGAAAGAAAAGCAGCAGGUUAAUACCCCGCUGUUCUGACGGUACCCAAAGAAUAAGCACCGGCUAACUUCGUG